This 253-nucleotide ribosomal RNA is filed under the name uncultured bacterium. Its description in RNAcentral is "partial 16S ribosomal RNA". It matches the Rfam family "Bacterial small subunit ribosomal RNA", at positions 524 to 776 of the family's 1533-position model. The record is from RNAcentral.
UACGAAGGGGGCUAGCGUUGUUCGGAAUUACUGGGCGUAAAGCGUAUGCAGGCGGAUCGUUAAGUCGGGGGUGAAAUCCCGAGGCUCAACCUCGGAACUGCCUUCGAUACUGGCGAUCUUGAGUCCGGGAGAGGUGAGUGGAACUCCGAGUGUAGAGGUGAAAUUCGUAGAUAUUCGGAAGAACACCAGUGGCGAAGGCGGCUCACUGGCCCGAUACUGACGCUGAGAUACGAAAGCGUGGGGAGCAAACAGG